AGCAGCCGCGGUAAUUCCAGCUCCAAUAGCGUAUAUUAAAGUUGUUGCAGUUAAAAAGCUCGUAGUUGAAUUUCGGGGUUAGUAGGUUGGUCAUGCCUCCGGUAUGUACUGGUCUCACUGAUUCCUCCUUCCUGACGAACCGUAAUGCCAUUAAUUUGGUGUUGCGGGGAAUUUGGACUGUUACUUUGAAAAAAUUAGAGUGUUUAAAGCAAGCUAACGCUUGAAUACAUCAGCAUGGAAUAAUGAAAUAGGACGUUCGAUCCUAUUUUGUUGGUUUCUAGGAUUGACGUAAUGAUUAAUAGGGAUAGUUGGGGGCAUUAGUAUUCAAUUGUCAGAGGUGAAAUUCUUGGAUUUAUUGAAGACUAACUACUGCGAAAGCAUUUGCCAAGGAUGUUUUCAUUAAUCAAGAACGAAAGUUAGGGGAUCGAAGACGAUCAGAUACCGUCGUAGUCUUAACCAUAAACUAUGCCGACUAGGGAUCGGAUGAUGUUAAUUUUUUAAUGACUCA
RNAcentral lists this ribosomal RNA (508 nucleotides) under uncultured Glomus. RNAcentral describes it as "SSU rRNA". It matches the Rfam family "Eukaryotic small subunit ribosomal RNA", at positions 569 to 1078 of the family's 1831-position model. The record is from RNAcentral. Lineage: Eukaryota; Fungi; Glomeromycota; Glomeromycetes; Glomerales; Glomeraceae.